CAGAGCUAUUGGCAGAACAUGGCAAGACAGAAUGUCAGAUUUCAUAGUCGGCAGACAUCUACAACAAUUGAUGCCUUGUAGUCAGAGGCUGUUAAAUUACCUGUGAAGGGUUACUGGCAGCCUUGAAUGUUUUUCUCAUUGUUUAUUUAGUUCCAAAAGCUCUUGGUCUUUGUGCUGAUUGCCCUAACUGACAGCACAGGAAGUCUGGACUUUGUAAACAGGGUGCUGCUGUAGUGAAUUACAGAGCAAGAGAAUGAGAGCGUGAAACUGGAAGUAAAAAGGGAGGAGAAGGAAGAAAAAUAACCUGAAAAUGUCAAACUUUAAUUCCCAAGAUGCUGCAUGAUUCCAGGUCUCUGCUGCCACAUCAGUUCUGGGCCAGAGACAAGGAUACAUUAUGACAGGGAAACCCAAGUCCUAAUAAGUGUAAUUUAUGCUGCUUCUUGUCCAUCUUGCACAUCAAAUGAACAGCCUCUGUGGAAAUGGGCAUAUGUCCUUAAAUACUCUGAAUCAGCAUAAAGACAUCUUCAGUACACUGGCAGUCUACGUAGUAUAUCAUUUCAUUAAUGGCAGUUUUCAAAAUUAAAGCUAUGCCACCACAAAGCCAAUAUCUGAUUUCAAACACUUUGAAGACAGGAGGAAACUCAAGAAUACAGAAUCCAUCUUUCUCAGUGAAUUGCCCAUCACCAAGCUGGUUUUACAUUUUGCAAGGCUGUUGACUUCAUCCAGAUAACUGUUGAUCUUUGUCUUGUUGAUGACUUGUUUACUGGCAAAUACUGUCUUCAUGUUAUUUUGAAGUUACAGAUAGACAGAAAAGUGAAAAAUUGACUUCAACAAUCAUACUUUUUUUAAAAAUUGCUAUCUGCCA
RNAcentral lists this long non-coding RNA (865 nucleotides) under Phascolarctos cinereus (koala). RNAcentral's name for it is "lncRNA (ENSPCIG00000033883.1)". Lineage: Eukaryota; Metazoa; Chordata; Mammalia; Diprotodontia; Phascolarctidae. The record is from RNAcentral.